RNAcentral lists this long non-coding RNA (8564 nucleotides) under Zea mays. RNAcentral's name for it is "long non-coding RNA (ZMAY_LNC003168)". Lineage: Eukaryota; Viridiplantae; Streptophyta; Magnoliopsida; Poales; Poaceae. The record is from RNAcentral.
CAGGUUAUUUAUUGCAACUGAAAAUCAAGUCAUUGGAGUUGUUCUGACUCAGGAGACUGAAGGAAAGGAGAAUGUUGUGACAUAUCUAAGUCGAAGAUUGGUAGAUACUAAAACAAGGUACACCUUAAUUAAAAAUUAUGUUUAUGCUUGUUCUAUGCAUGCACCAAACUUAGCCACAAUUUGCUAUCUGGCUCUUGCACUGUUUCCUUCAAACAGAUGCAUUUAAAUAUAUGUUGCAAAACCUAAUCAUGAGUGGCAGAAUUGGUUAGUGGGCUUAUGCACUUAUAGAAUAUGACUUGUCCUAUGAGUCAUUGAAAUCUAUGAAAGGCUAGGUUGUAGCUGAUUUUAUUGUAGAGCAUCACAUUGAUGACAUGCCUGAGCUAGAUAUACCAUAUCUUACUAUUACUUCAUAGACUCUGUAUUUUGAUGGAUUGGUUUGCAAUGAAGGAUAAGGGAUUGACAUUGUUCUUGUUUCUCCAAGGAAUGCCACUUUUGACUUCUCUUGCCGGUUGAAAGCUCAUUGCACUAACAAUUAAGCCAAAUAUGAAGCUCUCUUUGUUCGGUUUAGAACUUUUAAAUUAUAUGGGAGUAACACAUGUAAAAGUAUAUAAUGAUUCUUAUCUAGUUGUCCCACAGAUUUUAGGGAAGUAUCAAUGUUUAGAUAAUAUUUUGAAUGAUUACCUUGAAAGAUGUUGGGGGCAUAGUGCGCUCUUUUGACGAAUUUGACAUUCAACAUCUACCUAGAGAUGAGAAUUCUAGAGCUAAUGACUUAGUGCAAGAAGCUUCAGGUUAUCGAGUAACACGAGGAAAUUCCAUAUUUCUGAAAAUCCGGUAAUCAAGAGUGCGCUAAGUUCCCAGGCCAUGGAUCGUUCGAGUGGAGCAGUCGGACCAUCCGGCCCUGGGUCGUAGAUGUCCGCUAGUGAUAGUAGUGUGGCCUUGAUCGAUUUGGUUAAUGAUGCGGCCAAUACGAUCGAUCGAAGGACACCUUUUGUUACAUACCUGCAUGAUCCAAGUAUUAGGACAAAUAGGAACAUUCGGUUGGUGGUUUUUAAUUAUGUUCUAAUUGAUGAUGAACUUUAUCAUCGAACACCUAGUGAGGUCUUGCUUAAGUGCUUGGGCCCUGAUGAUGCUACAUUAGCUAUGACCGAAGUACAUGAAGGCAUUUGUGGUACUCACCAAUCAGCUCCAAAGAUGAAGUGGCUUUUGAGAAGAGUUGACUUCUAUUAGUCUACUAUGAUAGCUGAUUGUUUUAAGUACUACAAAGGAUGUCAAGUGUAUUAGAAGUUCGUUGAUCUACAAUUUGUUCCUACCGUCGAACUUCAUCAUAUCAUCAAACCUUGACCCUCUAGGGAAUGAGGUUUAGACUUUGUAGGAGAAAUUCAUCCUUAGUCAUCAAAAGAGCAUCGAUUUGUGCUAAUUGCCAUAGAUUAGUUCACUAAAUGGACUGAAGUCGUUGCUCUGAAGAAUAUGACACAUAGGAAAGUAAUUGAAUUUGUAACUGAGCACAUUAUCUAUUGAUUCGACAUUCCCCAGACUAUGACUACAGAUCAGGGGAGUUCUUUCAUGUCAAAGGAGGUACAUGAGUUUGCUGAAUCAUACAUGAUUAAGUUACUCAAUUUGUGUCCAUACUAUUCUCAGGCCAAUGCUUAUGUUGGCUCAAGUAAUAGGACAUUAAUUAUCCUAAUUAAAAAUAAGAUAGCUAAUCAUCCUAGGAAUUUGCACAAAGUUUUGUCUGAGGCUUUAUGGUCAAAUAGAAUAUCUAAACAUUGUGCUACUAAAGUAUCUCCGUUUGAGAUUUUGUUUAUGGGCAAGAAGUUGUUUUGCCUGUGGAGGUAAGCUUAAUGCUAACAGGUUUGCUAGGCAAAAUGAUAUAGCUAUCGAUGACUAUUAUGAUCUGAUGAUGAACAAUAUUGAUGAGGUGAUCGAAAAGAGGCUGAUGGCUCUAAGUGAGAUCGAAAGACAAGAUCAUGGUUGCUAGGGCCUACAACAAGAAGGUGAAGGUUAAAUCAUUUCAAGAUGGGGAUCUAGUUUGGAAGAUAGUCUUGCCACUGAGGAGCGAUGACCGGAAGUUUGGCGAAUGCUCACCAAGCUAGGAAGGGCCUUACAGAGUGACACAGGUAAUCUUCGGUAAUUCAUACAUGCUGCAGACUUGCCAGGUGAUGAGUUACCAAUGGUAUUAAAUGGUUGUUUUAUGAAACUAUAUCAUCCCAGUGUUUGACAAUAUGCAUAGAAAACCGAUGUGUCCCACAUCGAGUUGAUAACAGCCUCUACGUACCAGGUGCUUUUGAUUCGCUUAACUUCUCCAAAAUGCAGGGGGCAUUGUUGAGCACCAAAUACGGCACUUGGGGAGGCUGGAUGGUCCGACCCUAUGGUCCGGACGGUCCACAGGCUAGCCUAGACUAUCCACGAUUAGAUCAGAUAAAGCAAAAUAUCUCUCUAUUUCAUGUAUGUUUAUCCAUCUAAAUACGCAGAUUUUGUUGGGAGACGCCUAGGAACAGGUCCAGACCUCCCCCUAUAUAUAUCUACGGUCGAUUGCGCGCAUCACUAAUCAAACCAAUCAAUCAAAUCUACUUUAUUAUCUUCAUUCUUCCUCGCCUUAGGAGUAGGCAUAAAUUACGCCUAGAUUAGUUUUUCCCCAAUCUUCAUCCCUCUGCGACUGUACAUCGUCAACGUGCUAACUUUCGAGAUGCAUAGUUGGCUCUAGAAAGUUAGCUAACUUCCUAAAGGAUUCUAGGAAGUUAAGCUAAGUUACUGUCACACCUGGAUUAAAGGAGUAAACUGGGUGCGUCUCAUAUGUGCGCCAAAGAAGAACAACACAUAUAAUGACCAAGUGUAUAGACAUAAAUGUCACAAACAUUAUUACAUAGCGGAAGUGUCUUACAAAAAUAAAUGAUAACAAAUAAGCGAACUAAUAUUAUUUCCUUGACAACAUUAUGCUGACUAGGAGAUGCUACCUAGACUUCAUUAAACUCCUCAUAGUAGUCCUCCUCCUGGGCUCAGGGCCGGUCCUGAGGGCGGGCAACCGGAGCGGCCGCACCGGGCCCCAAAAUUCUAGGGGCCCCACCCCAGGUAUACAUACAGUGUAUAUACGUAUUAUGGUCAGAUCCAGGUAAAACUAAUCCAAUUAGAUCCAUGUCGAUUCAACUGCCUGGACACCACAGUAAUUGGAAUAAAAAAAUCCCUAAUCACCGCCGGCCACCACAAACGCACGCGAAAGCCUUGCCCUUGCGCGAUUGUGCCCUGCGCUUGCCGCCCUUGCCAUUUGAUCACCUCACAUUGCAGUCCUGCCAUCUUCUUGCCGGUCCCAGGCCUGUUGUGCUGCCUGUUCACGGAAUCACAGCACAGGUCACGGCUUCAACUGCUUGAAGCUAAGUUUACCUGAAAGUCCAAUGUCUUCUAUGGAGAUCUUUGAAUAUGUUCGGCAAAUGGAUUCAUAUCCAAAUAUUUCAAUCGCUUACCAGAUAUUAUUUACUGUGCUUGUAACUGUUGCAUCAGCUGAGAGAAGCUUUUCAAAGUUGAAAUUGUUGAAGAACUAUUUAAGGUCAACAAUGUCUCAAGAACGGCUCAACGGAUUGGCCACUUUAUGUAUUGAGAAGAAAUUAUUGGACAAGGUUGAUAGCAACAUUAUUAUCAACGACUUCACAUCAAUAAAUGUUAGAAAAAAUUUUAAGGUAAUAUAUAAACAUAUUUGAAUUUAUUUUGAUAUAUUUGAGUUAUUUAUCAUAUAAAAAAAUUAUUGAUGUACUUAGAAGAAUGUAAAAAAAUUAUAGAUGAAGCUUUAAAGGCCCCAAUUUUUGGUUUCGCCCCGGGUCCCUGCGAUCUCAGGACCGGCCCUGCCUGGGCUACCUGCUCUUCACCUAUGAGGGGGGGUUAUAUAUCAUAAGGGUGAGCUCACAAAAGUUGGUCAAAUUUUAUUAGCAGGUAUUAUAUGUAAGUAUAUACUAACCCAAAGUAAUAAUAGAUCAAAAUUAAUAAUAAAACCACAAUGCGAUGCAAAUGACAAAUUAAGUUUAAUUCCAUAAAUUAAUCACGUGAGUGUCCGAGGCGCUCAUAACCGUGAGCACGGCUAAUAUACCAGUUUUACACUCUAUAGAGGUUGCGCAUCUUUACCCACAAGCCAGGCUACCCAUUUGCCAAGGGGUCUAGAAGUCUCAUUCAUCUCUAUCGAGGAGACGAGGCAGGGUAGCACUACGAGGCCUUUCCAAAGUUCCACUAGUUCGAGAAAACCCGCUACAGAUUCAGAAAGAAGGAAGCAUAGGAAUCCCUCGUCCGGAAAGCUAAACAUACAGUCUAACCCGAGAACCUCCCUAUACUCUGCAGCAAUGCCUCCUCGCUUUCCCCUUUUAGAUAAGGUAGGCUCUCCCUAUCUUUCCUAAUUACUUGGCCAAGGAUGUACCAUUCCACCCUUAUGGUAGCACUGUUUUCCUGGGUGGUUCUCCAUGUUCCAAUUAACACAAUAAUCUUAUCAUGAACAAAUAAUAAUCAACAGUAAUAAUAAAGAAUGAUCAUGUGUCAAAUGUAGCUUAACACCCAAAACCACAUAGAGCAAUUGCAGGACUACCCAAAAGUUCAACAGUGAUCAAGAUAUAAAGUAGAUCAAGCUAGGGUGACCUAUUAGGUCCCAUCAAAUUAAACCUAAAUAUGCCACAAUGAUUAUAAAGAACAUUAUUGGGUAAAGUAAAGUGGUCAAGGGCACAACUUGCCUUCAACAAGCUCCUGCUCAGCCUCUUCAACCUGCCGAGCUCCUGCUUCCUCGAGUACUUGCUCGUCUACUCGCAACAAUACAACAAUAUUUCAUAGGAGAAAUUAACAUCACACCAAACAUAAGAACAGAAUGCAUGAUAAUAAUCUACGCAUCGUAAUGAGAUGCUAGGUUCGAGAACCACUAGAUUCUGAGUUACGGUUAAAAAGUUAUCAUUUUCUGAAAGUUUAGGUGUUAAAUAUAGGACAAAUUAAGUUCAUGAUUUUAACCAUAGGUUUAAUGGUAAAAGAAGGUUAUUAAAUGAUAAACAAUAUUAAUAUGAGUUCACUGCAAAUGGAAUGACUCAAUUUGGAGUUAAAACAAAGAAGUUAUGAUUUUUCUAUGUUCUUUGGACUUAUUACCUUAAUAAAAACUACUUUAUGAGAUUAAAUCCAGCUUCCUGCACGACAAUUAGUAUUCUCUGGAAGUUCAUGGACCUGUUUGCAAAAACAGAGGACCCAGAUUUCACGUUUCUUGAACUAAGUGGAUGGCGGGUUAAUUAGGCCAAAGGACAGGGGCUUUUUAAAAAAUUAUCUCAGCCGAAGGGGUACGGGGAUAGUUGAGACGUUGGAUCAUCAGCAGACGACAACGAUUAGAUUCUAGAUAUUGUGAACUGGUACGCCAUAACGGUUGUUAGAUCAAAACCCGACAAUCCAGAUCACCGGCGCGGAGGGGGCACGACUAGAGUCACACAUCAACCAAUCUACGGCCCAGAUCAGGUCGGAUCAAAGCGGCAGACCUGGUUCUAAUCCACACCGUUCGCACAGAUCUGGUGGUCACGGUUUAACGGGGCACGACUUUAAACCUAACUCGUCCGAUCCCGAUCGGACGCUCCUCGUCCCUCCAGAAUCUAGUAUGGGCAACUGAAUCGGGGCCAUUCAAACCUGAAUCAAGGAUCCCCAGCCACUUCCCUAUCUGAACCUAGCCACGGCGGCGACACCGUUUAGCCGCACGGCGGAACAUCGCUAGAGUAGGGUCUUCUACUGCCCCAAUGAGCUGAAACCCAUCGGAGAGUGGUGUUAUACGUAAGUGGGGGCAAUGCGAACAGCAUGGAGGACUUCUCACCGAGGAUUAUGGCGAGGCGUGGCUCCAUGACAGAGGAGAAACUCCGGUGAACAAUUCCCCAGUCCCUCCAAUCGGUGCUCCCACAGGGUGGGCGACGAAGCCUCCACGAACGAUCCGUGAGCUCCGGACGACGCUACGGUAGCCCACGACGGUGGUGAUGGAUCCUUCCUCUCUCUCUCAUGGCUCAUUGCAAUGGAUGGGCGGUGGUUGGGGUACGAUGAUGCGGGAGAGACCCUAGGGGGGUUUAUAUCCUCCGCACGCAUGAACCACUCGUGCGGAGGCCGUUAUGCCAGCUGGAGUUGCACGGUCGCGCCAUGCUCGGCUCGGUUGUUGUGUCCACGAGGGAAAAAAGGGAGGAAGAUCUACAGAAUGAGCGUGGCUGGCUGGUGGAGCCCACGGUCAACGAUAGGUGCGCGUGUAGGGAUGUGUUGGCUGGUGAGCGGACAGGCGGUCAACGGGAUAAGGGAAGUAUGGCGCGAGAGCGCGCGGUCACACGCGGCAUGGCUGGCCUCGUGGGGCCCACAUGUCGGUGCGAUCACGACGGGUUCAGUGGGCGGAGCCAUGGCUUUGGGCCGAGUUGGAGGACUGGCAGGGCGAUAUUUCGGCCCAUGCGAAGAACGGUUCUCUUUUUCUUUUAUCUUUUAUAAUUUCUUUUCAAAUUCUAAAUUCAAGGAUUCAAACCGAAUUUAAAUUUCUCUUUUGAUUCCAGAUUUAAAACACACAAUAGGGUCCCAAUUCUUAUAUAGCUCCUACUAUUUGCCUCAACGUUAUUUAUUUAUUUUUCCCCAUCGUUUACUCAUGGAAGGGAUAAUUUUACUUAUUUAAACUUUCCUUCUAAACUUUGAUUUUCUCAUUUCUUCCUUUCGAAUUUGAAUUUAAGUAAAGUUUAAAUCUUCAGGUAUCCAUAAAAAUGCACCACAUAAUAACUUCAGCAUGAUAUGCAUACAUUAUUAUUUCUAUUUACUUUGCAUAGUAUCAUAGAGGAAGAGCACAUUUAUAUAUUUAAAAAAUUCUUAACUCCUCUUUCUUAUUGCAUAGAAGUUGGGUAUUACACUUUCGACCAUAUUUUUUCGAGAGCUCAACUUUCAAUGGGAUGACUUAACUUCCAAUAGUUUCGCUAACUUCCGAGAGUUUAUGGCUAACUUCCUACGGUUUAGCCUUUAGGAAGUUAAGCAGUUUCUUAUAGUGAAAGGGGCGUCCUGGGUUACCUGCCAAUCCCGGGGCACCCCUGAAACUUUCCACUCUGACGGAAUCCCUCCGGGGAGGUAAGAUAUAGGGUUCUUUGACCAUUUGCACACGUGCGGACCGUCCGACCGACGACAGCGAGCAGAGGAGACUUGCUCCUACAGCAGGGUCGCGGACCGUCCGGCCGAUGACAGCGAGUAGAGGAGACCGUAGAGAGCACUGUCCGAUGAUAUAACCUCUAGUGUUUAGUGCUAAAUCGGCACCACCCAAUUAUUUGCAAGUAUAACCGUUAAAACCGACCGGACAAAAAACCAGCUGACAGCACGUACGUACGGGCGAUGCACGUAUGGAUUCUUAUCCAAACACUAGGCAUCCGCGCGCAGGGAUUCCUGCGGACCAGGCCUCGGCCAGCCUGAUCCGAUCCGUCGUCGACGAUUGCAUGCGGCGGGCUAGCCGAUCGAUCGAUCGAUGGAGCAAGGAAGGCCAUUGUAUGCUGAGUUGGAGAGACGGGGAGGCAGCCGGUUGCGCGCGGCGGCACGGGAGGCAGAGCCAGUAGCCAGCCAGGUAAUAAUAAAGAGAGCCCCGGCCCGUCGGCACGCGGGUGUCACAUGGCCGAUGCAGCAACCUGUGGCUGCCAUAGCCCGGCACAUGGCGCUGCCUGCAACCUGCUUCGUCGGCCUUGGAGCAUUUUCUGAUUUGCACACUGGCCGAUGGUCGAGCUUGAAAAGGACGGCCAGCGCCCCCAGGGCCAUUUAUCCGAUACAUAUGAGCGUACCCAGCCGGGCCUACAUAGAGACCGGCCAUCUGCUCUCCUCUCCUCGCGCGAGUUUGCAGCCAAGCAUACAGCCCCUUGGAUCGGGAACGACGACGACGCUUAUGCAUGCAGGUCCCUAUCCGAUCCCUCUCUGCGUGCCUUGAUGAACCCACACCGGGGACGGACGUACGUACGCGCCCCAUGCAUGGUGCACGCAUGACCUACAUCUGACGGCAUUAAUUCACUAUCAGUGUGACUGGUUGUUGCGUAGUUGCAGUCAGGCUCAGGCUCAUUGUGUACGAGCUAAGUUCAUAUAUAUGUUUUUUGUUUGGUUGUUUGCAUCCGUAUAUUCUUCACGACAAAUAUAACCGCUGUUUGGUUAUCUGUAUUCUUCACGAUAAAUAAAUCUUUAAAUAUUACACAACGGCUGUCUUGGUGAUUAUUUGUACAAAUCUUAAAAGUAUGUGUUGGGGGCUUUCGUCCUCCGAAGGUCAUCAAAACGUAAUUUAACAAUGUUUCCCAAGUAUUAUUUAUGGACAGGUAUCUUUGGAUUCAUGGUAAAAGCAGAUACGAUGAAGAGCUAGAUCGUGACGAAGGUUGUCGUCGCUCCGAAGCCAUGCGGAAGAGAGCUUCGGCUAAAUCGCAGAAAAUGGAACCGACUUAAAAGGGAAAAGGCUAUUCAGUCCUCAUAGAUUUUUCCAUAAGUCAAUAGCAAAUGUAAAGGGCAUAAUUGUAAUCUCUCAUAGGCUGUGUCCUGUGCCUAUAAAUAGGUGAACAGUGCCCCCGUACUGUUCACGCUGACUUGUACUUGCUUUUGCG